AUGUUAUUUAAUAUUAUUGUGAAUUAUAUCAUUUUCAUCAUAAAAAAAUUAAGAGAUAUAGCACAAUAUUGAUUUUAGUCCAUUUAUUCAAUACAAAACGCUUGGGAAGGAAUAGGGUAUUUACAAUCCAGUAUGGUGUUUGAGGUGAAAAAAAAUUUUAAAAAGGUACAAAAAGUGUCAAAUAUACGCGCGCAAAAAACGCCCUCAAAAAUGUAUUCCUGUACAAAACAAUUUAGAUUUGAUAUUAUAAAGUGAGAGUAUUACGUUUUUUCUUUACAUAAGUAAUAAUGUGAAAAAAAAUGCGCCGACCAUAAAAAUGGAUGUUUAUACGAAAUAGAAAAUCCCAAUAUCAAUCUUUAGUCUGAUGCGGGCUUAACAAAAAACCAAACUGUGAAUGCCAGCCAAAGAAUAAUAAUAAAAAGUAGAUGUUCUAUUUCGUAUAAACAUCCAUUUUUAUGGUUGGCGCAUUUUCUUAAUAUCAUUAUUUUUGUAGGCAAAAAAAUUUAAUACUCUUAUUUUGUAGUGUCAAAUCUAAGUUGUUUUGUACAAGAAUACAUUUUUGAGAGCGUUUUUUGCGCGCGUAUAUCCCAAUAAGACAGUUACGUGACAUCCAUGUGUAAUCUAUGUGAUUUACAUGGAUGCAGGUUUUUCUAUAAGUUAUCCACGUGAAUGCAACGUUCUUUUUUCAUCAUUGCAUCGAAUUCUUUUAUCUUCGAAAUAUAUAUUAGAUUUUUUGUGGAUAUUAAGAAAUAUUUAUAGGGAAUUUACAUGGAUAUUUCGAGAAACGCCGCGCGCUCGUCCGCCAGUUAGUGCACGGCGCCGUCAGGCGGCGUAACUCUCUUAGGAGUAAGGUGCACCCAAUGCGCUAUAUAAAGACCACUUGCAGCACGAUUAAGACAAGCAGUAAUUAGCUUCCUGCCCGAUUUGGAAGAGAACCGCCACAUAAUACUUUUAUGAUUUACUCAUUUUAAUUAAGUGAACAAUCCGCUACAAGAAAAUUGAUCUUCACUCUGGUUAAAUAAAGGAUCACUUAUCGAGCGAAAAAUUCAUUCUUAUAAAAAGUGAGAUGUCACUCCAUUUUGAAUAACUGUAUUUUACUAUCGCUUAAAGUAAAAUUCCAUUCUUUUGGAGUAACGUUUUACUCCAAGAAAUUUAGAGAAUACGUUAUGUUAUGAAGAAGUUUCUAAAAUUUAUAGAAUUUUUACGUGGUUUCUACGUCAAAUCUAUGAUCGCAUUCACAUAGAUUCUAGUACCGUUUUUAAGCAAAUGUCCACUCGAAUAUUCACGAGGAUUUCACGAUGUUGAUCCACGUAGCAUUAACGCGGACAUUACGUAUUAUUUUAUUGGGGUACUUGGCGCUUUUUUGUACUUUUUUUUAAAAAAGGUAAUUUUGCUAUGAUUUCACUUCUUUUGUAGUUUCAGGUAUGUCAUUUUGUUGAGUAAUGUAUAUGGAGAUUCUUAAGACAAUUUUAAAAUCCGUAUCAAAUUAAAAAUUGAGAUUGAAAUGAUUUUGUCGAUGUCAUUCAAGGUCAACUAUAUAUUUUCAUCACAUUUUCUUCUUAAUAGUCUAUAAACUUUGACUGAAAUGUUUUUACCUUAGUAAACCUAGCACUCCUACCACUAAAAAAAAAGGUAUAAUUUUCUGCUAAUUAUUUGCUAAUUUUUUUCUCUAGUCCUUAAUUUUUUGCUCCUACCUGUUUGCAGGAAAUUAAGAACAAAAAUAUGAAUGCCAGUCUAUGUGACGCUAGCACCCUCACUAAUAAAAAAAUGCAUAAACAAAAAAACAACUACAUCAAAAUUUUCUGCUUAUUUUGUGCUUUAAAAUACUGUAAACAUAUAUUAAAAAUAUUGAAUUAGUUAUCAAAGUAUCAGUACCGUCGUAAUGUAACGGUAUAAGAGAAAAUGAUUAAAAAUCAGAAGCUAAUCAUACAUGACAGACAUAAAGGUAUUUCUCAAUCAAAUAUUCGUAAAAUAUGCAAUUAAAAUUUUAAACUUACAAAAUAACCUUUGUGUCUGAUGGGACGUAUACGCAAGGUUGCUAAAAAACAUGUUUAAAAAGAAAAACAACAAAACAUUACGUUUUUUUAAACUAAAAACGUAUUUUUUUAGUUUUAAACAUCUUUUAAACAUAUUUUUAAACAUGUACGACACAAUUCGGAUGUUGUACGUCAGAUGUCGACACAGUGAAAACGUGUCUAAACACGUUUUACACGUAGCAUAAACACAGCACGCAGAGCGCAGUUGGGAGCGUAGUAUGAAAGUUUUCCUACAUGCGACAUUUAUACAUUAUUUUCAAAGAUCUACGUGUAAAAAUAAAGAAAUAUGGGCGGAAGACGACAGGAUGCGGUUUAGCAACAUUUUAUAAGAAUUAAAGGUGAUAAUAAACCAUUGAGAGCGAAGUGUAAACACUGUGAAAAAGAAAUGUGUUCUUUAGUAGCACGUAUGAAGAUGCACAUAAAUAAGUGCAAUGUCUUAAAUAAAGAUAAAUUGUACGAAGAGAUCGACAUUGACGACAUUACAUAUAAUGAGGAUCCUCCAAUAAAUAAUGAAAACUUGAAUGAUAAUAUUGAAACUGAUGAAACUGUUAACGAAUCUUCUGAAACCAGCGUCACCAGCACUGAAUUUAACAUUCAAAGUGAACGAAGCAAAACAGUUAAUCUCUUUGGAACUGUCUCGCAACCGCAAACAUCAUGUUCAACAAACUCAAUAUUAACGACUUCAUUAAAAUCAGGAAUAUCAAGCAAAAAUUUACAUUCUUUUGUAAUAAAAACAACAAAUUUAGAAAAAAUUUAUUGAUUUACAGAUAGCAAAGUUUAUAUAUAGUACAAAUUCAUUGUUUCGGCUUGUGGAACAUAAAAAAUUUAAAAAAAUGGUUGAUUUGUUACGUCCAGGGUACAAACCGCCAAGUCGCCAUCAAAUUGCUAAUGAAUUAUUAGAAAAUGUUUUUAUUUCCAUAAAACAAAGUGUAGAAAAAAAUUUUAAAGAUAAGAUAUAUGGCGAUGAAGGGCUGGAGUAAUCUUCAUGUCGAGCCAAUAGUUUGCAUCUCAAUAACCGACGUAUUAGAAGGAAAUAUUCAUUUGAUAGAUACAAUAGAUACUGCUGACAACAAGCACACUGCAGAUUACAUAUUAAAAUUAGCUGUCAAAGCAAAUAAAAAGUUGCCAAAAAUUUCGUUGUUUUAUUAAAAGUUUUGUAACUGACAACGCAAGUAAUAUGGCAAAAAUGCGAAGUCAACUUUCACAAUAUGAGGAAAUAGAUAUGCCAGAUAUAAUAACAUACGGUUGUUCAGCGCAUAUUUUGCAUUUAUUAGCAAAAGAUAUCGACGUGCCAGAACUGAAAGAAAAGGUGAAAAAAAUAAUAAAAUACUUUAAAUAUACACAUUUUUCAGCAUCUAAAUAUAAACAAGAAGGUGGUACUUGUCUCGUUUUAUCAUCAGAUGUUCGUUGGAAUACUUUAUGCAAUUGCUUUGAAUCAUUUUUUCGCGCUUAUUUUUAUUUCUUUUUAGACUUUGCAAUAAAUAUUCUCUAAAUCGCCAUGGAUACAACCUACUGUUGACUACAGCACGCCUCUUGGUCUACACGUGGAUCAGAAAAUAUAAAUUUCAGAAGACCUAAAACGUUGCACUAAAUAUGACAAGAAUGAUUAUAUGAAAAAUAUUUUGCAAUUAAAAAAACAAAAGUUAGAGAAGGAUAGAAAAUAUAAAAAUAAAAAACUUGAUAUUUUGAGAGAGAUUCAAAAGAAAAUGUGUUAAAAAGAAAUCAAUAAUGUUAUGUUCCUCAACACUUCAUUAUAUGUGUAUUUAGACUUUAUUUUCCAAAGAUUUUGUUAUACUACCCUUAUAGAAAUUUUAUCCUGGCAGUACUAAAUUGGCCAGUGAUUAAUUACUUAUUUUGAGUAUUAAAAGCAUUAAAAACAUUGCUUUUAAUACUCAAAAUAAGUAAUUAAUCAUUGGCUAAUUUAAUACUACUAGUAUUAACUUUCUAUAAAAAUAUACUAUAACGUAAUAUAGUUUAAAAGUUUUACUUUUCUAAUUUUUAAGAAGUAUAAACCGCAAAGAAGAGUGAUUAAUAGCAAUAUAUACAUAAGUAAACAUAAACAGUGAUUAAUAAGUACAUGCAUAAAAUGUAUAUUAAUUUGUUACUUACCAGUGUAAUAAUUAAUUAAAAAUUAAUUAUUAAACCAUUAAUUCUUGAACAAUUAAUUAACAAUUUAUUCCAUUAAACAAUUAAUUGAAAAUCAAACUUUGUAUUAAUUCAGUUAUUUCUUAGGAUAGUAAGAUAAUUUUUUAUUUGUUCUCUUCUGAUGACUCCUUGUUGCUGUUGUUCUGGAAUAACUUCCAAAGGCCCGGGAUCUUCCUCUGGGUCGUCUAGGAAGAUAACUGGGUAUUCAAUCUCAUCUUCUUUCGUGAGACAGAUAUUAUGGAGAACACAACAAAUAUUAUAUAAUAUGGUAUAAGGUCUGUUCUUCGCAUUGGCAGUUUGUCCAGCAUAUAUCUCCAUCGUCCUUUUAAUACACCUGUAGACCGUUCCACAAUCAUUCUGCUGUUAAAUGCCCAUUGUCCUUGUAUGGCAUCACAAAUUUUUGCAGAGUGUAAGUUGGAGCCUAUGAGGUAAUUAUCGUUGUCAAAAUAAUUAUUGUUACAUUUUUGUUGUAUUCCAGAAUAUUUAAACAUUCUCAUGUCGUGCACCGAUCCUGGCAUUUCAGCAUAGCAGUGAAUAAAUUUUCUUUUUUUUGUUGCAGACUACCUGUAAACGAGAUGCCCGAUGUUUACUGAGUGUUUUAUGCUUUUCUCUAAAAUAAAA
Monomorium pharaonis (pharaoh ant) is the source of this 4802-nucleotide long non-coding RNA. RefSeq lists it as uncharacterized. Lineage: Eukaryota; Metazoa; Arthropoda; Insecta; Hymenoptera; Formicidae. The record is from RefSeq and is a predicted model, not a curated record. The transcript has 3 exons.